UCCGGUUUGGCACCGGCAGUCUCCCAUGAGUCCCCGACAUUACUCGCUGGCAACAUGGAACAGGGGUUGCGCUCGUUGCGCCACUUAAGGCAACACCUCACGGCACGAGCUGACGACAGCCGUGCAGCACCUGUGCGGGCUCCCGAAGGAGCACCGUGUUUCCACGGUUUCACCCCGCAUGUCAAGCCCUGGUAAGGUGGGGAUGACGUUCGUCUGAC
Molecule: unclassified non-coding RNA, 218 nt
Filed under: uncultured Actinomycetes bacterium
Lineage: Bacteria; Bacillati; Actinomycetota; Actinomycetes
Description: uncultured actinobacterium contains 16S-23S intergenic spacer region
Source: RNAcentral